Molecule: long non-coding RNA, 581 nt
Filed under: Olea europaea subsp. europaea
Lineage: Eukaryota; Viridiplantae; Streptophyta; Magnoliopsida; Lamiales; Oleaceae
Source: RNAcentral
UAGGUUUCGUGUCUUCUUAAUAGGUCUUUAUAAAUAGUAAGAAUUUUGAAUUCUUACAUUUUGUUGAAUCUAUAAGUAUCAAUUUAUGGGUAUAUAUUUGAUUUGACAGCAAGCAUUUUCGAUGAUUAAGGAUUUCAUAUAUUUCUUAGGUCAUUUUAUUUAAUUAGUAGGUUCUCAUAUUAUUUGUUUUGUUUGUUUUUGUUAUUUGUAGAUGACUUCCAAAUGUCAAUGCUCCAUCACCAUGCCGAUCUCGAUUAAUGAGGGUGAAGAUACCCAGUGCUAGCACGAGGACUCCUGUCCGGUCGUAAAAGGGUAAGAGAUAUGUAGGAAUGUUGGAGAACAUCAUUGUGUGUUUGGAAAAAUAUUUGCAAUGUCAUUUUGUGUACCAUCAUUAGGCAAAAUUUUGGAUGAUGGUAUAGUUUUGAGUUUCAAUGUAAAAUUGAAAUGGAGACAAUGGCAUUUUAUUUCAGUAGUGACAUGUUGUUCAGGUCUUACAUUGUGUACACAUUCACGAAUUGUCGUUCUUGAUAGUUGAAAUUUCAAUUGUCAAGAAUAACAGGUAUUUAAUGUCAAGAGCAACA